This is a long non-coding RNA of Cyphomyrmex costatus, 493 nucleotides long. RefSeq lists it as uncharacterized. Lineage: Eukaryota; Metazoa; Arthropoda; Insecta; Hymenoptera; Formicidae. The transcript has 3 exons. The record is from RefSeq and is a predicted model, not a curated record.
AAAAAUGAGCGUCAAGCGUCAGCAUGUUUAAACAAUUCCAAUAAGCAAAGAAGUUACAACACAGUUUGUCGGGCAGUGCACAGGCGUGCGUUUGCUCUUUCUGAAACGCGCUGCGGCGGUAGAAGAGUUGGACCCUUAUAUAACAAGGGAAGCCUGAAUAAGUCGCCGCUUUGCUAAAAAUGAUCAAAUGGAGGUAAAUUUUGAGCAGAAAAGUUCCCUGUAUGGCUCAGGAAUUAACGAUGACGUAUAAACGGGUAAGGAGAAAUCAUUGUCACCAUGGAAUCAUGGGUAGCGUACACGGCUAACUACACGACAGUGAAGUGGGGGAUUUUCCAACAAAAUUACUCUAAAAACAUUUGUAUGAGAAUUACAAAAGGUGUACCUUCGUUAUGUAAAAAGUCUCAUUUUUAUAAUUUGUCUCUUGAUUCUAAAAAAAAUUCAUGAAGAAUGCCUUUUUUAAGGCUCCAAACGUAUAUGCCCUCUUAAAUCAUUU